Molecule: ribosomal RNA, 253 nt
Filed under: uncultured bacterium
Lineage: Bacteria
Description: partial 16S ribosomal RNA
Rfam family: Bacterial small subunit ribosomal RNA
Source: RNAcentral
UACGUAGGCAGCAAGCGUUGUUCGGAAUUACUGGGCGUAAAGCGUGCGUAGGCGGUGCCUCAAGUUUGGUGUGAAAUCUCCCGGCUCAACUGGGAGGGUGCGCCGAAAACUGAGGUGCUCGAGUGUGGGAGAGGUAGGCGGAAUUCCUGGUGUAGCGGUGAAAUGCGUAGAUAUCAGGAGGAACACCGGCGGUGUAGACGGCUUACUGGACCAUUACUGACGCUGAGGCACGAAAGUGUGGGGAGCAAACAGG